Molecule: long non-coding RNA, 10488 nt
Organism: Gallus gallus (chicken)
Lineage: Eukaryota; Metazoa; Chordata; Aves; Galliformes; Phasianidae
Exons: 2
Source: RefSeq, a predicted model, not a curated record
ACUCUCUUGCCCAGAAAAUACAGAACAGCCUGAGUCGGAAGGGAACCAUAAGGAUCUUUAAGUCUAAAAUGGAUGAGAGCACAGCAUCCUGAGAAGCAAUGGCUGUCAUAUACUGUGCUGUCCAGCUCACAGAAACAAGUUGCAGAGCCACGUCGUAGAGUCAGAAGGAAACUCUCUAAAAAAACACUUCGUCGUGCUUCCCAGUAUGUAUUCAACAUUCUCCCUUCAGAAGCAGUGUGUUAUCACCUUGCUGCUGGUUCAGCUGAUGCUGUUACUUUCAUUCCCAGAGCUGAUACAGAACAUUUGCAACAUAGCAAAUUGAGCCCAAGACUGAUUUCUUAUUUAAGGUUCAGAGUCUUGAACCCAGAUGCCUGAGCAUCAGUAGAGGGAAAGAAAGCCCAAAUGCAUGGAAUGGGGAGCACCUGGCAGCCAAUGCACAGCAAUCACACUCAAGAAAUCAGAGCAGAUAAGAAGGGUCUGCUCAGGGUUACCUCCCUCAGCAGCUCUGCAGGCAGUGGGGCAUGUCAUACUCAGCCCGUGAGCUUUGCAGGGUGCAGCAUCUCUUCUGAGCUGCUCCUGGAGCACUGCUCCUGCAGGGCCUGCUUUGCUGCCAGGAAGAGGCACCUCACAGUGUGGAUGCAGUGAUAGGCAGAGAGGAGCUUCUGCACAGUAAAAGUGCCCCUCGUCAGCGGGCUCUUAGUUUCAUCAAGGAAAGUCCCUUCCUUGCAGAAGUGCUGAAUAUUCAGGUGUCUUCAGGGACCUUGGGAUCACCUUGCCAUCAGGUAUUUUUGGAAAUAUAGGGGAGAACUGGGUGCCUGGGGAAGCAGGGUUGGCUAUGGCAACUGCAGAAAGAUGCUUUCACCUCAGAGGUGCCUGUGUUUGUAAACUCCUUCCUUGAGGACAGAACACAGUGCUAUCUGUUGCUCUGAUUUGCAGUGUGGUAGCCCUGCUGGUAAGAGAGAAACCUCACAGUCAACCCCCAAGCCAUGGCUUUGCCCUCCAAAGGUGAAGCUCUUGGUCUUGCUGGUAUCCUUAGACCACCCUCCUCUACCUUUCUGCUUAUCUGAGCAAAAGCAAUUUGGAAGGCCCUUUAAGGAUAUGACUUUCCUAACUUGUAGCAGAGGCUGCUCGCUGAAGCUUUCACAUGAGCUGGAAUAGGUUUAACCAAAAAUAUUGUGUGGCUCUCCAAGCCUCUGAUGCAUCUUGAUGGCUCUUCUUCAGAGGGCUCCUAUUGCUCUGACAGCUGAUGGUUGUACAGCUCUUCCCAGGGGUGACCAACCCUCCUCUCUCCUGCAGAGAUGCAUCUCUGAAGCAGUUCUAAGCAAGCACAAUUUGGCAACAAACCACAGCUGGGAGGCAGCUCAGGGAAGAGGAUGGAGGUGGAGGAAGCUUUCCUUCAGCCUGCAUCCAUCCUGACCUCUUCUAAAGCCUAAUGUACCUUAAAAGGCAGGUAGUAAAUUUGACCUCUCCUGCUCUGCUGCAAACUAACAAAUGAUAGUCGUUAUGCAGCUGAUGCAACUUGAAGUUACAAAAAUACCUCCUUACAAACGCUUUCUAUCCCAAUACAAGCAGGACUCUUUCCUAUAAGAGAAGCUGGGAAUCUGAAGUGUGAGCUCUCAGGCCCAAGGAUGGAGCUGGUUGGGAUGUGUGCCUCUGCUACUCUCAUACCAUUUCUAGUCUCAUAGAUGGUGACAGAUACCUCUGCCGGAGUGGCACAGACAGUGUUGUGCUGUGAGUGCUGGCUUGUUUGACUCCACUUCACACUGGGGACAGUGUCAUCCUUUGGCUAGGAAUGAACAUGUUAUUGGGCUUUUAUGUUCUUUUAAAUAACCGGUGUGUGUCUAAUCACCUGAUUAGAAUGAAUGUAAUGGCACCCCCUCGUGGCUUUCAAGCAGAGACAGGCAAAAUUAGAGUGUGUAGUACUGUGCUGCCUGUGGGCGUUGUUCUGCAGAGACUAAGAACAGCUGCCCAACAGAACUGCUGCUGAUGCUGGUAGAAUUGCCUCCAGCAGCUGGAUUGAGAACUGUAGAUCUCUGUGAUGAAGCUGCAAAUGCUUUUGUAUUGACAAUCUGUAGAAACUCUCAUGACACAAAAGUUCAGAGCAGAGCAUUUGUCAACCUCAGACGAGGUACCCUCGUGAACAUCAUGGCUGCUUUUGGAUUAGUAUAGAGAAGUGGCACGUCUUUAACACAGGCAUGGUGUACUCACAAUGGCACAAUGAUGCUGGCUGGAGACAGAUGCUCGUGGUCCAUUCUGGCUUGGUUUUGGAGCUGGAGCACCCGUGUACUCCUGGCAUGUGGAAGAAGUCCCAGCUGCCUGAUAAUUGGAAUGUUCCUUGGCUACAAAUGUUGAAAACUUGCAUGUAUCAGAGAUUAACUGAGAAUAAUUUUGCCUGUUCUUUACCUCCUCUGUCCUCUCCAGGUUUGAAAGGCUCGCUAACAAGCUAACAAAAAGAAUAACAGCCUAGAAAUGCAAGGGUUUUCCUUACUUGCCUCGCUAACGCGUUAUGUCUGUAAUGAUGCUGUAGCCAGAAAUUACUCCCCAUUUGUAUGCUUACUCCUGUGUCUGAAAACUUCCCCAUGCAGGAGGUUAUGCUCUGCUGUGGUUUAAUGCCCUGGUCUGGCUGCUCGCUGCAGACCUACUCUGCGCUGGUUUCUACUGAGACACUGAAGAAAACAGACUGCCCCUCUUGCUGAUGCUGCACAACGUUUGAGGACUUGCGGUCACUGAGGAUGUGAGUGUAACAAACCAGAGGACAGCUGCAGAGAUUUGUGUUUUCUUCCCUUGCCAGGAAAAGGUGCCUGGAGUGCAAAAACACCUAAGGCCUUCCUGGAGAAAGCUCUAUGGAGUAGAAGCACUGUAGAUGAGUGAUAUUUCUUCAACCAUCUGCUCCUUCCGCACUCACACGAGGGCAGGCCAGCUCCAUGUGAGUGCAGUGAUAGGUGAGCCUCGCUGGAAGCUGCAGGAAGUUUUUAAUUUUCUCUUCUUGUUCCUUGGUGUCAGACAAUGAUCUUCACAUCAGCACACCAAAGGAAAUAAUUUAAACAUAAUUAACUUGAGCUAACGCUGAAACUCCUGGGAGCAGCGUGGUGUUAACUGUUCAGAGAUUUUUAACUUGCUUUUUAUCAGGAAUAUGAGAAUACUGUUUGAAUUAAGACUUCUUAAUUAAACGUGACCUGGGUGACACUGUGUUCUUAAUUAAACGUGACCUAGGUGACCGUUCAGUUAUUAACACUGUGUUCGCUUACACUGUGGCUCUGAUACGCUCUUAAAGAGGGAACUCCUCAACCAUCAUUUCACCGGGGGCCGACACAGCAACUUGUGUUUAUAAAUGCUGUGCAACUUUUCUGUCCCUUCCUUCCUUCCAUCCUUCCUUUCUUUCUUGCCAGACCUGUGCAGAAACCUCUUUAGGAAACGCUGUUUUUCCUCCUGUAAGACCAGUGGAAGGAGGAACUUAAGUCCCAGGAAGGAAAGGAGCAAAGCUGGGCUGCACACCUGGCAUUUCUCUGCUGUGCUGGUUAAUUCAGCCUGGACUUUCAAGCAAUUCCAUGGUGGGGCAUAAGGUCUGUAGAGUCUGUUGGCAGAAAAAUGCCUGACUAUCUAGUGUUGAACCAACCAACGCCUUCUGAGGAAGCCACCUAAUGCUCUGUCCAAGACAUCAGUGUGCAUUCACAGACCAAAAAAAGGAGAUGUGAGGGACAGAUGAUACGUUACCAGAAUUAGCCAUUGCCACACCGAGUACGCAUCAGACGCAAGACUUGCCUCAGUUCAACAACCUGAAAUUCAAGUUCCCUAUUCCAGGCUCACAUGCCUUCUAAUGAUAGCGUGUUCGUGUCUCCUUCAGCUUUGGGCAUGACCUUUCUGAGCUGGCUGCUUCUGUUUCUCACCUGUACAUUGAGCCAAAAAACAGCCGCCUCUGAAUUUUAGGAGGGGGUGUAAGGGACAGAGCAGAUGAAAGAUUUUCUGUAUUCAGUGAUAUGACCCUGAAUGAAUGCAGUUGAGCAAGCUGGCCAACUCAGAUGAGCACUAUUUUGUACUGCUCAUGUUUACCAGCGUACUGUGCCUGGGUCCAAGAGCAAGCCUACAACGCUGCUAUGGUGAAGCUGGCCAGCCUACUUUAACCUACUCAGACACGCCAUCUAAACAAAACACUCCCUCUCCAAAAACUUCGUGCUCCUCUCUGCCCUCUUGCAAGCCCUCUUGCUGCAAUCCUUUCCUGUGCUGCCUCUGGGGUGCAAUGGCUCUUGCUCCAAAUCGUUACUUCUAUGUGGAAGAUGGCCAAGCUGAAGUGGUGGGGCAGGCUGUGCCACCUGCUGCAGAGAGCUCCCCAGCUGUGGUGUGUUAGAUCCUGCUGUUGAAAUGCUCCUGGGCAGGCUGCUCUGAAAACACCUGGGGGGUUACCAGCUGAGACCAAAGAGGCAGAAUGGGCUGGAGGAAUGCAGUUCUGACAGUAAGUUAAAGCCUAAGUGGGUUGGGCCUGCGCUUACCUUUAGGAUGAUGAGAAGAGGGUGCUGAGGUGCUGCUGGGGCAGAAUGGGGGUGUUUUGGUGUGCAGAGGGCCAUGUUGGCACCAUCCUGAAAACAAUGAGCAAGCCCUGCUCUGAGGCUGCUUUACAAAUGGCUGCUGGUGGUCAUAGGACAUCUGGGAACGACGUGAAAACUGCAGAUGGUGGAAAUGUGGUAUGUGGGAACGCUGUGAAUUGUUCAGUCAGCAUCUAGGAAUAAAGAUACAAAACUUCUACAAUUAGAGAUCCUCCUCGGGAAGGAGUUUGCCAUCAGUGCACACCAGAGCUAAGCUCUUUCAAAAAAUGUCACCUCUAUUUUUGGAUGGGGGGAUUGAAUCAACUUCCAGUGUAAGGGAAAUCUGGUUACAGGCUUGUGCAGCAGAGAAAAGGGAGUGGCAUGGCAUUGGCAGGUCACGUAGUCCAGUUCUGUACAUCAGGUACAACGAUACCAUGAAGUAUGAUUUUGACACAGGAAUCUCACCUUGAAUUUAUGUUCUGUUUUACUACUGGAAAAUGAACCAUGACUGUUAAUUAAGGACUGUUUCCAGGUUAAGUUUGCACUGUUUCUAAUUGUUCAGGUCCUCCACAUUUAAUCCAGUAUUGCCAUUCUAGCACAGAUUUGGUCCUUAGUAUGAGUUAUGCUGUGUCUUCAUGAUGUGCUGCUAUGUUUUAGCCCUGGCGCUAAGUUUAAAUGUCUUUCAGUUUUCCUUUGUGCUGGUCCUUUUAGCAGAACCCGGAGCAAGGGCCAUCUAUAUGAGAAUCUUAUCCUUCAAGCUGUAAUCAGGUAUGUUUGAGAAGGAGCUGUGAUGCCCAGGUAACAAGCCAAGAGCUGCUGCUUUCCUCCUGCAAAUGGAGAUGGUCAUUGUUACGUAUUUGAAGUAGCGUAUGUUCAUGUACAGGCACAGUGUUGUUGGCAGAUAAUUAUCAGUCUGCAUAAAUAAGAAGUUAAAUGGAACAAGGAGAGCACGAUGCAAAUUGUCAUUAAAUCUGUUCCCCAGCUCUGUAAUGGAGGUUGUGUGGGUACGCUGAGUGACGAUUGUAGGCUGCUAGCUACAUUGCUCUGCAGAGUGAUUUGGGGUCACAAUGAAAUCACACUGAAUUGUUUAAGUUGGGCCCAGAGAAUAACACACGCAGCCAUUCAAAAAACACUAAGAAACUUCUGGUUACAGAUGGCACAAAUGGUGUUUUGUUAUGCUUGAGACAACACAAACGUACAUCUAUGACAAUUCCACAUUUCUAGAUGCUCACUGGAUGCCGUCCAUACUUUAACUUCUAUUUUUCCAAUGUUCUUGAUAUGCAAACUCCUUAAGAGCGUUCCAGGAGAGAUGUGGAUGCUGUACCUUUGAUUUAAGCCUUCUGACAAGCCUUGGAUGCUCCUCCCUUGCCUCUCAUGUGGAUUCCUAACAGGCAGCCCAUAGCCACCUAGCAAUCUACAAUGUAAAAUUAUCACCAUCUACUACUCCAAUAGCCAAAGGCCCAGGUAAUAUGAAUACUUUGGCCUACUCACCCUAAGUGCUGUCUUUUUUCUUUUUUUUUCUACUUGGAGACUGAGGGUUUGUAGAAAAUAAUUUUCUGUUUGGAAGGAAGUGCUCCUUCAAUACUGCAACUUGAAGGGAGAUUGACAACAUAGCUUGCGGUUACCAGGGCUGCCACAGGCACUGACAAGAUUUGUCACUGUUUCUGAAAACUCUCCUUAUAUGACAUGGCUAAUAAUAUUAGAAAAGCUUCAAGUUAUGUCAUUUGUUCAUGGGCAGGGGACUGUCAAAGAAAUUACAACUUCUCCACAGGAAGCUAUGCAUGCAUCUAAAUGCUCCAGACUUGCUCUGUGUAUCCACAAGCAAUUCUGGUGAUGUUGAAGAGGAAGCAACUCCAAGUUCUUGCAGUGCAACAGCAGUAAUAGAAGGACUGAGUUCCACAAGAACAUAGUUUUAUAAGAUGAAAUGUAUAUAGCAUGGCAGUAAAUAAACUAAGGCUAGGAAUUAAGUGGAAGAAGGAUCUUAGCAUGUAAACCAUGCAUUUUUGGAACAGCUUUUAGUAGUGACAUAACCUUCUCAUAACUCCUCGAGUUAUUAUUAUUUAAUAUUUAUGAAGAAUUUAAGUAAUUAAUCUGCCCCAAAUGGUAGGCAGGAGUGUGCACAUGCCUGGCCAGUGGGUUUCAGUUGUAGUCUGCAGUUAUGCACCACAAAAUCUGUGAUGGCAAAAUAUCCGUUUGCUUGUACCAAUAGCUCCCAUGAAGAGGAGUUCUGAGUUUGUGCCCUGAUUGAUCAGGUGCUAUAGAUGAAGUGGGAGAGUACAUAUUAUGGCAGGUGUUGUAAGAAAGGCCCUUUAGUAAUAGCUUCAGAAAUCUCUUUUCUUAGGCCGUGAACACCUUCCUUUUCCUGGAUGCUAUGCAGAAGUGCACAAGAAGUGGUUUGGAAGAGUUUGAUGUGCUAUAGGUUACUCAGUGAACUUGAAGGCAUUCCAGGAGUAGAGCAUCUUCCUGGGAAGCAGAGGGUGGUGUGGGAGCUUGUUUUUUGGGAGGUGUGUGGCAGGCCUGUGGUUUUGUAACUGCUGUGUUCCAAAAAUGGUGCUUUUAUAAAUAAAUAACACAACCUGUUUCACAUGGCUUUCUUCCAGUGGGAAGCUGCCCUGCGGACCUUGGGAUUUUUCUAUUCCUAGUCAAGGGAGAAACAAAUGUAAGUACACAGAAAGAGCAUCUUUAUUUCUGCUAUGUCGAGAAUUGAGAAGUACGUGUUUUGUUUUAUUUGAUCAGUUACUUCAGCCUCCCUAAGCUGCCAUCGUGGCUCUCUGUGAAAGCCUGUGAAAAUAAAAAUAUCACAGACAAAAAUAACAGUCCCUCGUUCUAAGUGUGGAGUGUCUCAGUGCGUAUUUGGCACAUCCUCUGAGGCUGUAUCAACAGCAAGUAGAAACAAGCUGCUGUAAAGAGCGAGUCAGAGAGAGGAAUAGCGCUUGGUGUCCUGUCCUGUGUCUGCCAGGACUUCUGACAUGAAUCACAGAAUCGUUAUGGUUGGAAGAGACCACUAUGAUCAUCUAGUCCAACCAUCCAACCACCCGUCCCCACCAUGACCACAAACUAUGUCCCACAGUGCUGCAACUGUUCUUUGUAGAGAUAUAUUCCAAGGGAUAUCGGAAGUUAUAACAGUUUCUCUUCUGAGCAGACCACCACCCAGCACACCUCCCAGGCUGCGUGCUUUGCUAUAUGGUGUAUGAUUUCACAAGAGCCUUCCAUAAGCUGUACGGAGCAGUGACACCUUUAACAACCAUAAAGACUGCCGGGGCACCAGCAGCAUUUAGGUGGCUGUAAAUGAUGCACACCACCACGAGAAACGUUUCUUUCCCUGAGGCACCAGAUGGCAGCAUUUUUCCUCUCUGAAAGUGUGAUCCCUUCUCAGAUUCACUUUCUGGGACCACCACAUAGGGCUGCGCGGCUGCGGAGGCCACAAAGGCCUCAACUGAACCGGACCUUCUCUGUCAUCGCCUGCUUUGUGGGAACCCUUCAGUCACACAUCCCUAAACCCUACGUUUUCCCCUCACUCUCAUGUCCUUGCUCAUAAAUGCAGUGCUGCUUUACCACUGCUUUUUGUCACAGGAAAAGAAAAGAGAGAAAAUCAUCCAUGUCAGCUGCAGCAAGCUCUGUUCCUAAGGCACUCACCUUUGGCCUGCAGCGCUAUGGGACAAAUGUGUUUGCACGAGUUGUAUGACUUACGGCUUCGGUGGACAGCAGAAGAAAGGCUGUUUAUGCACAAAAGGGAUGGGUUGGCCCUGGGGGCUGAGGGAGGAGCAGCUCUGGCUUUCUUUUUCUUUUCUUUCUUUCUUUCUUUUUUUUUGCUGUCUGCUUUACUCUGUGGUGAUGUGGUGUAUCUGCUGUGGUUAGUUGCUGUGUCACUGCUUUACAGAUGCUAUGAGCUCACCAGUGGACAAUUUGUGGGUUCUUUAACUUCUGACGAGCAGCCAGUUGUUUUUCUAAAGAGCAUGUGACGAGGGAUUUUCUAAUUUUUCAGCUUUCAGCCAAAUUCAGUGGGAGUGCCAUAGGACAGGGAAGUGGUGGUGGACCCUUCUCAACUCCACCCUUCUUACUUAAUACCAAAAACUUAUCUAUAAACAGGCAAGAGGGAGGGAAGAGCGUUCCUCAAAGCGAGCCAAAAGAAUCCUGUACAAUGACAACGUUAAACUGAGAUUUGUGGAAAACAGUGCUAUUUUCUUUGGUUAAAAAUAUUCUAAUGAAAAAAAGCCCUCAAUGUUUUUUCGCUUUCUCGUGCCAGUUUCUUUCCAGUUUUGGAUUUGUCUGCCCAUUGGUUUCAGUUACAUCAUGCGAACAAGACGGACUCAGCUUUACUGCCCAAGAUAGGCAAUAUGUGUGCAGUAGAAAUACACUGGAAAUUCACCUGAAAGCUGAGUAGAAUUUCAUCACUUCAAGUCAAUCGUACAGAUAUUAUCUUCCUUUUAAAUAAAGAGGGAUAAUAUUUUUAAAUGCACCUCCACAGCUUAUAAUGAUCAGUGCGAUUCCUUAUGUGCACUUGCUUUACAAAGUGGAAGAAAACACCCAUUUUUUGUCUAAUUAUAGUUCUGGAGUUGCUAACUAGCACCUUCUCUGAGAAACAGUUGCCUGUGAUGAGCUUUGCAAGAAGAGAGAUGUUGAGGUGGUUUAAAAAAUAAAAUAAAAAAAGCAUCUGAUAUCUAUCAGUAUGGAUUAUUACAGCUUGCCAUUAUUUAGUUUGGAACUGUGACAACUGACCAAAACAUAGAGACUAUGAAUAGGAAUGCAAGGAGUGAUUAAGUGCAUGUGAGAGAGGAAAAAAAAAAUAAAGCAAUACAGUUUGGCACGCAGCAAAUGUUAGAUCUGGUGUACAGCUGUCUGUGCAAUUCCCACUGCUCUCUUGGAGGAUUUCUGCGAUUUCCCACUAAGGUAUCUCUGCUGAUAGAGACUUAGAAACGGCUCCAUCUCUGUAAGCUUUGAUUCUUAGUACAGCUGGUAAGAUAGAUGUGUUAAUCCUUUACAUAUGAAAGAUGCAAGUAUCCUCCUACACAUACAUUACAGAGAGAAGAUUUGUUUGUUUUAUGAUGGGUAACUGCUAUGUACUGUUCGCUGUCUCUAUCUUGCAUAGUAAGUGAAAUUACUGUUGAAACAAGCUGAUCAAAUCUGAGAUUCCCCUUGCUGCAGUCCGGAAUGAAAAUGUACCCAAGAGGGACAAAUUCUGUCUGGUAGUACAUAGAGCUUUUUGGCUUCUAGACUGCCACGGCAUACUGAUGAAGAAGGUACUCUUAAAUAAAGAAGAUCUGGCUUGCAGGGAAACAUGCAUCUACAAUUCCUAUGGAAUGAGAUGUGGUUCUUGGUGGUUUUGUAGUGCCAACGGCUGCUCUACCAACUUUCACCUUGGCCUUCCCUGAAAGGGGGAGAAUUGGUUCAGCCUGGUACAGACACAGGGAUGCUUUUCCUUGUGUGUAUCCAUUAUUCCAUGAUGUAUACAAUAUACGGGGAGUGUCGUUAAAAGGAAGACAUUGCAAACAAAUCGGUAGUGUCAUAUUCUGAUCCUCAUUUUCUAUUCAGUAGCAUUUCUCAUAUGGCCUCGGCCAACCCUAUUUCUCACAGAAAGCGGUGGCUGUUAUUACUGUUUGCAUACGGUGUGGAAUAAGGAGGCUGGGAGGAAUGGUUGCGCAGAGAGAAUCUGGUUGGGAAAGAGGUUAAAAAGCCCCAAAAGUGAGUGAAAGUAGACAAAAGUAGACAAGACAUUAUACAUAUGACAUAAAGUCCCCUUUUUUGCAGGUACAGAAUGCUGAGUGUUUAAGAGCUGGUACUGAUUGUACUACAGUUGUUGUACGAGGGCUGUAACUGGUAUACCAUGCAUAAUUUCUCUCGUGGUGCUUAUUGUUCAUUGGUUAUCCUGCACAGAAACAAUACAGGCACUGUAACAGACCCAUGGGCUGCAUUCCAACACAAGUCAUUAGCUCAGGCAGGUCUCCUGAAUUGGUCUAAAUGUUGCUCC